This 601-nucleotide long non-coding RNA is filed under the name Lathyrus oleraceus (garden pea). Its description in RNAcentral is "Pisum sativum (pea) long non-coding RNA (PSAT_LNC002664)". The record is from RNAcentral. Lineage: Eukaryota; Viridiplantae; Streptophyta; Magnoliopsida; Fabales; Fabaceae.
UUGGAAGUUCAUCUAAGUUUAGGUUUCAUGCGGAUCACUAAUGAUAGUGUCUUGAACGUUGAUACUCAUUAAAUGGACAACAAAGAUUUGUUUAAGGACGGUGAAGAAACUGUAUAAACACACUUAUAUUUCCCCAUGCCUUGAGUGACUUUUCACCACGGUUGAAAAUUCCAACCGUGGUAAAAAAGUGGCUUAAAAAAAAAAAAAAAAAACUAUAACGCGCAACCUAUCACAACGGUUACUUUAAACAACUAUUGUUGUAUAUAUCAACCUAUAUCAUCCGUUACUUUAAAUAACCGUUGUUAUAUGCCUUUUAAUAAAAUAAAAAAAAUGCAAUAGUAGAAUUACGACAACAAAAACAAAACCAAAAACAAAACCAAAAACAAUAAGAACAACAAAAAGAACAACAACAACAAUAACAACAACAAGAAAAACAACAAGAAUAACAAAAGCCAACAACAACAACAAAACCAACAACAACAAUAACAACAACAAGAACAACAAGAAAAACAACAAGAACAACAUGAAUAACAACAAGAAUAACAAAAACAACAACAACAAUAAAAACAACAUUAUAAGUGCUACGAUUCGAACUCAUGAU